UCAAGGUAUCCUUCUACGUUUUCUUAUCGAGUUAUCGACGCACGCAACGAGCUGUGGUACCUUAUCAAUUAAAAACAAGCGAAAUCUUACCUGGAUUUCAUUUGAUUUUUCAUUGAGUUGCUCAUGUCCAAAGCUUUUUUCGGAUGCGUGGGUUUCUCUUUUUAGUUAAUUCUCGAUUGUCAACGCACAAUAUGCUAUGGGAAUUUAACAAUUGUUGUGCUAAUUUCAUUUGUUUUCUACCUCUACCCAUAUAUUAAAUUGCAAUUUGCAUUCGUUUAAUCAUACCGACUCAAAUCGAAAAUUUCCUCAAUCCUAGCGUGUGCUGGGUUACGAGCCUCUUCAUCUGACCGAUAGAUCGCAGCACUUAUUCGGGUCGACCCGUGCCGUUCCAACAAUCCCGGAUUAUUUGAAUUUCCCAGAAAGAGGGGUUAGGGUCUUCAAGACGAGGGGGAGGGUUAGAAAGAAUCCAUCAUGGCCGCCGAUCUUUUGGAACAAUUUUGUUACCCCUACUCUACCUCUCCUUUCCUUUUAGUCAGUUGGCGUUUGAAUGGCGACUAGAACAGUAGAACACUUGUGCAUGAAGUUUCGGAUCUGCUAACAACAUUUGUUAAGUGUAUUCAAAUUUUUUGUUAUCUGUUAAUAGAAACAUAGUGUCGCAUUGUUUAAUGUUUUUGCGUCGACGGAACUGGUUACAGAAGUCCUUACUUUAUACUUCACACCUUCGUAGUCUGUGCAUGUGCUUCGAUGUGCUUCCAUAUAAACGGACAUAAUCCAGGUGACGCUCAGCGAAAAAAGUCCAGAUUAAACGGUUUCGUCGGUGGAAAGACCUUGCUGAUUGGGACGGAGAAAAUGUCUAUCCAGGUCUACGGCCCCCUUUACUGGUGUGUGGAUGGGAACGAGGACACGCGGUGAAGCAGCUUCCUGGAUUGGAUUGACGGAGUAAACCAACAAUUCCAUACGGAUGAAAACUGCCAUUCAUGCAUCGCGAUGAACCAUGACCACCCAGGUGCUCGAUGAGACGUGGGGACCUUCUUUUCUUUUUUGAGGUUAGAUCAAAAUUUUUUUUUAUUUCCCUCGUCAUUAUUUUACGUCGGUCGGCCCGAGGAUCGACCAAAGUUUCGGUUUAUUGUGGUACGAAAUCCCAAGGUUUUCCUAUUUUCAAAGGCAGCUAUUAGCUUUUUUAUUUUCUCUCAUCAACAUCACCAGAUCAUAUCUUAUGGCCUUACUUGCCGUAUCACCUUGUACGUGUUUUGUACAAAUGCUGUCUAAGAUAAAAGCGAUUGAAAACGACCAGCAAUAUGUAAAUGAUAGCGUCGGAAAACCUGAAAUCGCAAAAUAACAAUUUAGACGGCGAUAAAUUUGUUACUUUUUACACUUGUUAAUCAAGCAAUUUGUCUUAAAAUUCCGUGGGCAGCGUCCGUACAUUAAAAACAGUUUUUCAUUUAAUAAUUUGACGAUUAAAAAAUGUCAAUGGUUUCUUUUCCAUUUUUUUUACUGCUAUCAAAUUAUUACGCUGACGGGAAAUAAUUUUAGUUAUGACUUCAUGCGCGUUAUCACCCGUUGCCUCAGCAACUAUUUUCUAGACUGGAUUUGUCAACAUGAGUUAGAUUUAGUGGGCCAAGAACUUUGACAAAUCUUGCUUUAGUUAAUUUGAUGCACUAUUUUGCGUUCCAGCGCAAAAAAUUGACAACUACUAGCAAACAUCAUUAAGCAAUUAGCUGCUAUCAAUUUAGCAUUUUUGACUUUUCGUUAGGUACUUGGAAUUUCCAACGCUUGUAAUAGAACAGCCGAUCGCGCACUGUUAUGCAAAGAAUAUGUGAUUAUUCUCAACCUGACGUGCGCCACUAAUUUAUUAUAGUUAUCAAUGACUUGUGAAGUUUAUUACCAACAUCGUCAAGAUUACCCAUUUAUUUAAUAGUGGGUAAGUGUAAACUUUAAUUGUUAUACAGCAAUCGAGGAGUGGUAGCGCGUAAAGCGACACCUAAUAGAAGAUAUUCGUACUCUUUACUGUGUUGAUGAUGGAGAAAGAGUCGUACAUUCGUUAUGGUUACUUUAGAUUGUCUUACGUUAGAUUUAGGUAUAUUUUCAACGUGUUCCAACUGAUGCAGUGUUUAUUAAUUAUUUUUCAAUUACCAUUGUAGAGUUCAACCUGCAGACGGGCCGGCCAG
Long non-coding RNA from Daphnia pulex (common water flea), 2168 nucleotides. RefSeq lists it as uncharacterized. Lineage: Eukaryota; Metazoa; Arthropoda; Branchiopoda; Diplostraca; Daphniidae. The transcript is spliced from 3 exons. The record is from RefSeq and is a predicted model, not a curated record.